RNAcentral lists this ribosomal RNA (396 nucleotides) under uncultured bacterium. RNAcentral describes it as "bacterial SSU rRNA". It matches the Rfam family "Bacterial small subunit ribosomal RNA", at positions 28 to 429 of the family's 1533-position model. The record is from RNAcentral.
GACGAACGCUGGCGGCGUGCUUAACACAUGCAAGUCGAGCGGUAAGGCCCUUUCGGGGGUACACGAGCGGCGAACGGGUGAGUAACACGUGGGUGACCUGCCCUCAGCUCUGGGAUAAGCCUGGGAAACUGGGUCUAAUACCGGAUAUGACUCCAUGACGCAUGUUGUGGGGUGGAAAGCCUUGUGCGGCUGAGGAUGGGCCCGCGGCCUAUCAGCUUGUUGGUGGGGUGAUGGCCUACCAAGGCGACGACGGGUAGCCGGCCUGAGAGGGCGACCGGCCACACUGGGACUGAGACACGGCCCAGACUCCUACGGGAGGCAGCAGUGGGGAAUCUUGCGCAAUGGGCGAAAGCCUGACGCAGCGAGCCGCGUGAGGGAUGACGGCCUCGGUGUAAC